GAAAAAACCACCUGGGGAGGUGGUUUUUCGAAGGUUCAGUAAGUUGGGGAACUUCUGAACCGUGGUAACAGGGUGUACAAGACCGCUGCCACCAAAUACGUCCUUUCAGUUUAGCCGUAGUUAGGCUUCAACUUCAAGAACUCUGCACCAGUAAUCUCUUGUACACCCCUUUACCAGUGGCUACCGCCAAUGGCGAUUUGACGUGUCUGUAAGGGUUGGACUCAAGACGAUAGUUACCUUACAUGGCGCGGUAGUCGGACUGAACGGGGGGUUCGUGCAUACAGUCCAGCUUGGAGCGAACUGCCUACCCGGAACUGAGUGUCAGGCGUGGAAUGAGACAAACGCGGCCAUAACAGCGGAAUGACACCGGUAAACCGAAUGGCAGGAACAGGAGAGCGCACGAGGGAGCGACCCAUCGGAAACGGUGGGGAUCUUUAAGUCCUGUCGGGUUUCGUCACCGCUGUCGGAUUCAUGGUUGAGCUCAGGCUCCCACAGAUGCACCGAAAAAGUG
RNAcentral lists this unclassified non-coding RNA (511 nucleotides) under Klebsiella pneumoniae. Lineage: Bacteria; Pseudomonadati; Pseudomonadota; Gammaproteobacteria; Enterobacterales; Enterobacteriaceae. RNAcentral also lists the same sequence under 1 other name. The record is from RNAcentral.